This 397-nucleotide ribosomal RNA is filed under the name uncultured bacterium. Its description in RNAcentral is "bacterial SSU rRNA". It matches the Rfam family "Bacterial small subunit ribosomal RNA", at positions 21 to 424 of the family's 1533-position model. The record is from RNAcentral.
GGCCGCGGGGAUUCGAUUCAGGCCUAACACAUGCAAGUCGAACGGCAGCACGGAGCUUGCUCUGGUGGCGAGUGGCGAACGGGUGAGUAAUAUAUCGGAACGUACCCUAGAGUGGGGGAUAACGUAGCGAAAGUUACGCUAAUACCGCAUACGAUCUAAGGAUGAAAGUGGGGGAUCGCAAGACCUCAUGCUCGUGGAGCGGCCGAUAUCUGAUUAGCUAGUUGGUAGGGUAAAAGCCUACCAAGGCAUCGAUCAGUAGCUGGUCUGGGAGGACGACCAGCCACACUGGAAGUGAGACACGGUCCAGACUCCUACGGGAGGCAGCAGUGGGGAAUUUUGGACAAUGGGCGAAAGCCUGAUCCAGAAAGGCCGCGUGAGUGAAGAAGCCCUUCGGGUU